AGAGUUUGAUCCUGGCUCAGGACGAACGCUGGCGGCGUGCUUAACACAUGCAAGUCGAACGGAAAGGCCCUUCGGGGUACUCGAGUGGCGAACGGGUGAGUAACACGUGGGUGAUCUGCCCUGCACUUUGGGAUAAGCCUGGGAAACUGGGUCUAAUACCGAAUAUGACCACGCUCUUCAUGGGGUGUGGUGGAAAGCUUUUGCGGUGUGGGAUGGGCCCGCGGCCUAUCAGCUUGUUGGUGGGGUAAUGGCCUACCAAGGCGACGACGGGUAGCCGGCCUGAGAGGGUGACCGGCCACACUGGGACUGAGAUACGGCCCAGACUCCUACGGGAGGCAGCAGUGGGGAAUAUUGCACAAUGGGCGCAAGCCUGAUGCAGCGACGCCGCGUGAGGGAUGACGGCCUUCGGGUUGUAAACCUCUUUCACCAGGGACGAAGCGCGAGUGACGGUACCUGGAGAAGAAGCACCGGCCAACUACGUGCCAGCAGCCGCGGUAAUACGUAGGGUGCGAGCGUUGUCCGGAAUUACUGGGCGUAAAGAGCUCGUAGGUGGUUUGUCGCGUUGUUCGUGAAAACUCACAGCUUAACUGUGGGCGUGCGGGCGAUACGGGCAGACUAGAGUACUGCAGGGGAGACUGGAAUUCCUGGUGUAGCGGUGGAAUGCGCAGAUAUCAGGAGGAACACCGGUGGCGAAGGCGGGUCUCUGGGCAGUAACUGACGCUGAGGAGCGAAAGCGUGGGGAGCGAACAGGAUUAGAUACCCUGGUAGUCCAA
This 773-nucleotide ribosomal RNA is filed under the name uncultured bacterium. RNAcentral's name for it is "bacterial SSU rRNA". It matches the Rfam family "Bacterial small subunit ribosomal RNA", at positions 8 to 798 of the family's 1533-position model. The record is from RNAcentral.